UAGGGAAUCUUCGGCAAUGGACGGAAGUCUGACCGAGCAACGCCGCGCGAGUGAAGAAGGUUUUCGGAUCGUAAAGCUCUGUUGUAAGAGAAGAACGAGUGUGAGAGUGGAAAGUUCACACUGUGACGGUAACUUACCAGAAAGGGACGGCUAACUACGUGCCAGCAGCCGCGGUAAUACGUAGGUCCCGAGCGUUAUCCGGAUUUAUUGGGCGUAAAGCGAGCGCAGGCGGUUAGAUAAGUCUGAAGUUAAAGGCUGUGGCUUAACCAUAGUACGCUUUGGAAACUGUUUAACUUGAGUGCAGAAGGGGAGAGUGGAAUUCCAUGUGUAGCGGUGAAAUGCGUAGAUAUAUGGAGGAACACCGGUGGCGAAAGCGGCUCUCUGGUCUGUAACUGACGCUGAGGCUCGAAAGCGUGGGGAGCAAACAGGAUUAGAUACCCUGGUAGUCCACGCCGUAAACGAUGAGUGCUAGGUGUUGGGUCCUUUCCGGGACUCAGUGCCGCAGCUAACGCAUUAAGCACUCCGCCUGGGGAGUACGACCGCAAGGUUG
Molecule: ribosomal RNA, 550 nt
Filed under: uncultured bacterium
Lineage: Bacteria
Description: bacterial SSU rRNA
Rfam family: Bacterial small subunit ribosomal RNA
Source: RNAcentral